AUGCCAGAAGAGGCAUAUUUCUUCCAUCUUCACAGCAGAAUGUCAAAGAACCACCGCGUUGACAGGAAUUCAUCCUUUGGGGAAAGGAAGCUCCUUGCUGACCAAAGGUUCUGGUCUGAAGUGAUCAGCAACCUGCCACCAUCACUAGAAGAAAAGAAACAGACAUUCAGGAGACAUUUUAGCACUGCCUUAUUGGGACUGCAGGUCUUGCUGAGUGUCUCUGGAGCUGACACAUUUCAAACCUUCGAGGGGAUUCUGGAAGUCUCCUGUUGGUGCCUACCAAACCUGGGCUGGAUGCUAGAAAACAAAGAUGGUAUUCUCCUCUUUCUUUCCCAACCAACACAGCAGGGUGAAACUUGCCAGUCAGUCCUCAGCCAGAACUACUUUAGUAUUCCCAAAGUUUUAACAUAAAUUAGUAGAAAAUCUGGAGAAAUCCCUAAACUGCUUCUACUUGUCCAUGUGUACGUGGGCAAGUACAUGUUGUACAAGUUGCGCUGUACAAGCUAAAUAGUCUCAUUUCUACUGCGUGAGUGCUGGGAUGACAAAAAGGAAGAAGGUAAAUCAGAUUAAAUCCUUAACAAAUUUGACUUAACCAAAAGAAAUAAAUUAAGUUCCUGAGCUACCAACUUAAGUUAGUAGCUUUUUAACCUAAACUUUUAACUUAAGUUAGUAGCUCAGAAUUUGACCCAGACUUCACUGAAAUCAAUGGGAAACUCCUGAUCAUGUUGUUAGAACCAUGAUUAAUCUCUUAUACAAUGGAUACACGUAUCUCUUGUUACUGGAAUAGAUUUAGGAAGAUCAGUGCUGAUUUCAGCUCUAUAUGAAAUUGAAACAUUCCCAGCAUCAAUGUUUGCAUGCAGAGCACUUUUUGUGUGUGUGUAGAUAUUAAGAAGAAAUCUUUGCUUAAAUUACUUGUUAAACUAUUCCUUUACACAGGUAACUCUUUGUUAGCAUUUAAUUAAAUGGCUACAGUCUCAUUGGCCCAUUCAUCACACCUACCCUCGUCAUGUCAGUGAAGUGCUAUAUCCCUCCCAUAGUCAGGAGGAGACAGCAGUCUCCAGAGCAUGUUUCAUCCCAGCUUAAGUUUGGUAAGGGAUGCUACAACUAGAAAAAGUCUCUCUCAAAACACUGAAUGAACUGGGAGAAAAAUCAAAACCAGAUGACUUUGCAUAGUACAUUUGGGACUGAAAAGCAGAUUUAAACAAAACAAACAAUCAACAAAAAAAAGUAAGUAUUGGUGCAUAUAUUUGAUGGUACCAACAUAGGAAGACACAAUAAAAGGAAAAAUAUACUGGUAAAACCAUUUACAAUGGUAUCUGGGAACAAACAAGACAUAAGCAAGAAAAACUGGGACAGAAAUAAAAAGAGAGGAAAAACUCAGAAAUGUAGGAAGAUGGAACAACAUAUGUAUUUGCAACAUUCCUGUCUCCCACCUCUGCAAAAAAAAAUUAGUCAUUUAUAUUCACUUUUCUGCUUAAAACUAGAUGAUUAUGUAGGCUAUGUUAGAGAUGUAGGUAAAUAUUGCUGGUGUAUCCAGUGGGUUAGCAUAAUCCUUCCAAGGAAAAAAAAACACAUGCCAAACAAAACUAAGGAUUAGCCAGCACUUUUUCUCAGAAAAUAUAUAGGAAAAAAAGAAGUUUGACAUUUACAGCUGUAUUGUAGAACCCUGUUCAAGUCCCUACUGUAGGUCCCUCUAUAAGUUUAUUCAGUGUCACCAGGGUUCUACAGACAGUGAAAUCAAGAGACAGGAGUCCUAAAUACAGGCACUAACCAAUAUUGAUUCACCUUUCCCUAAUGCACGGACAAAAACAUCAUCAAUAAGCUUGUCAACAGCCUGAAGCAAUGAGCAUUAUAAUACUCAACUAAGCCAAGAAUAACACAGCAUUCAUUUAUUUAUUUCAGUUGCAUGCAAUCCCCCAAGAUUUAAACAACAGGUGUUGAUUUAAAACAACAGGUGUUUUAGACGGCAGCUUCUUUUGUGGGUGUCAUGCCCUUGUUGUGUCUCAACCUGAUUCUGGCUUUAGACUUCGCUGAGCUGGCUUCACCGAACGUUCCAUCUACAUUCAUCUUCACUCUUCUGUUAUCUUUUCAGUCCCAAGAACUAGCAUUUCAAUGCUACUGUUUCUUUCUUUUACUAGGCUAUUAAAAGCAUAUUAAGCAAUUCUGAAAGGUUUUUGAUUUUUGCUGUAUUAAGGGUGCGAAGAAUGUGGAAAAGUAUUUCAAGAUAGAAACAAUUCUCUGAAGAGCAUUUCCCACUAUGUUCACUUCUCUCAUUAAAAUAAGUGAUUGCACAAGUAAGUGGAACACAGGUAUCCCCAAAAGGCUAUUGAUCUCUCCUUGGUGAAAACCAUACUUAAACAGAGACUAGCUAUUGUUUUGCACUAAAAUGGUGCAUAAAGGCAAGACAAGCAAAAAAGCCAAAAUUUCUGUAAUAGCUUGUUUCUAAAACUACAUUGAAAUCAAUACUAUGGCAUAAGUAUAAUCUUAUGAACCUUUCAAUGUAAUUGCUACUUGUUUAAUUUAUUAAAACAACUUAAAGUACUACUUUGGGAAGUUGACAGGCUUUGGGGAAGAGCUGAAAUGAUUCUUUUCUACAUUUUUUAUCUCAUUAUAGCUUUUGCUUUCAGUCUACAUAUUUAAACAACAUUAAUUUGGUUUCUAAGCAUG
Molecule: long non-coding RNA, 2667 nt
Filed under: Anas zonorhyncha (Eastern spot-billed duck)
Lineage: Eukaryota; Metazoa; Chordata; Aves; Anseriformes; Anatidae
Description: lncRNA (ENSAZOG00000002323.1)
Source: RNAcentral